GACGAACGCUGGCGGCGUGCCUAAUACAUGCAAGUCGAACGCAGUGGGGACGGGUGAGUAACACGUGGGUAACCUGCCCAUCAGAGGGGAUAACACUUGGAAACAGGUGCUAAACCGAUACUGAUGGAUGGACCCGCGGUGCAUUAGCUAGUUGGUGAGGUAACGGCUCACCAAGGCCACGAUGCAUAGCCGACCUGUGAGGGUGUUCGGCCACACUGGGCAUGAGACACGGCCCAUACUCCUAAGGGAGGCAGCAGUAGGGAAUCUUCGGCAAUGGACGAAAGUCUGACCGAGCAACGCCGCGGGAGUGAAGAAGGUUUUCGGAUCGUAAAACUCUGUUGUUAGAGAAGCGGUAUCUAACCAGAAAGCCACGGCUAACUACGUGCCAGCAGCCGCGGUAAUAC
RNAcentral lists this ribosomal RNA (404 nucleotides) under uncultured bacterium. RNAcentral's name for it is "partial 16S ribosomal RNA". It matches the Rfam family "Bacterial small subunit ribosomal RNA", at positions 28 to 526 of the family's 1533-position model. The record is from RNAcentral.